RNAcentral lists this ribosomal RNA (262 nucleotides) under uncultured bacterium. RNAcentral's name for it is "partial 16S ribosomal RNA". It matches the Rfam family "Bacterial small subunit ribosomal RNA", at positions 793 to 1055 of the family's 1533-position model. The record is from RNAcentral.
GUCCACGCCGUAAACGAUGUCUACUAGCCGUUGGGAGACUUGAUUUCUUAGUGGCGCAGCUAACGCACUAAGUAGACCGCCUGGGGAGUACGGCCGCAAGGUUAAAACUCAAAUGAAUUGACGGGGCCCGCACAAGCGGUGGAGCAUGUGGUUUAAUUCGAUGCAACGCGAAGAACCUUACCAGGUCUUGACAUCCUCGGAACUUGGCAGAGAUGCCUUGGUGCCUUCGGGAACCGAGAGACAGGUGCUGCAUGGCUGUCGU